AGCUCCAAUAGCGUAUAUUAAAGUUGUUGCAGUUAAAAAGCUCGUAGUUGAAUUUUGGGUUUGAUUGGCUGGUCUUGUCGCAAGAUAGGUACUUGCCGGUCGAAUCUUUCCUUCUGGCGAACUAUUGUGCUAUUAGUUUAGUGUGAUAGGGAUCCAGGACUUUACUUUGAAAAAAUUAGAGUGUUUAAAGCAGGCUUACGCUUGAAUACAUUAGCAUGGAAUAAUAGAAUAGGACUUUGGUUCUAUUUUGUUGGUUUCUAGGACCGAAGUAAUGAUUAAUAGGGAUAGUUGGGGGCAUUAGUAUUUAAUUGUCAGAGGUGAAAUUCUUGGAUUUAUGAAAGACUAACUUCUGCGAAAGCAUUUGCCAAGGAUGUUUUCA
Molecule: ribosomal RNA, 379 nt
Filed under: uncultured fungus
Lineage: Eukaryota; Fungi
Description: SSU rRNA
Rfam family: Eukaryotic small subunit ribosomal RNA
Source: RNAcentral